GCGUUAGCGCUGUGAUGCUACUCAGCAAUGCUUAAGCAUCAUUAGCAGUUCAAAAAGAAGAGGAGUCUGAUUUCACAUGUAUCGGAGGAGGCAUGUGCUAGUCUUCACCCUCCUGGUGUGUUGGGGCAUCACUAGUGAUAGAGAAAGUCCUAAUAAGUGGGUUGGGUAAUUGGCCUUGUAAAUUGGGGAGAAAAUGGGAUAAAAAAACAAUAAACAUAUAAUAUUGGUCUUUAGAGGCUCAGAUGUGUUCCCUCUGUAAAACACACUAAAAACAGCUCUGAUUCGGUGACAGGUUAGUGGACAUUUAGUCUUGAAGGGAAAACAUUAUUAUUUUAAUACAUUCGAAGCUCGUGCUAUAAUGUGUAAUAUUGGCACUGCUUUUAUAAAAUAUUUCACCUGGUUUAAACUUGUAAUCCCCUCUAGCACCCCCUUUAGGCAGGUACAUAAAUAUUUACAACAUCUCAGAACUGUCGAAAACAAAUAAAAAAACCCUAAAUAAAAGCCCCUUCUUUUUUAAGCGUGUGCUUUUAUUCACCGGUUUGAGCUUUGCUGGCAUUUUCCCUCACUCCCGCUUCCCGUCACUUAUCCUCAAUUACGUAAGCAACUGUAAUCUAGCGGUGGAACAGUCUGACGCUGUUUCGGUUCUCUCGGGAAUAAAAAAUGGGAGAUAAUGUUGAUUAAGGUAGAGCUCAUGCUGGUGCGUCUCGCUGAAAAGGCACCUGCUUUUCAGAGGCUAUUAUUUUCCGCUGCGACAGUAAACAAGCAGCCCACCUGCUAUGAGCUAGCGGAGUUAGCACACUUAGCUCAGCUGUGCGCCGGCUUUGUUGGCUCAAUAAGGCUGGUGAGCUUGCAGCUGAUCCAGGACUGAGGGUUUUGUUCUGCUGUGGAGACAGAAAUCAAAGGGCAGCUGAGGAAAAACCAACACCUAUCCAAACACUGCCGUGAUCCUGACAGGCCACAAUAACUGAAACGCCAGCUCGUAUCAGCCAGGCCCAUUCAGCGCUCCGUUACUCAGCACACCAGCCAUUUUACAGCCGGUGAUAAUGACCCGGGAGAGAUUAGGGCUGGUUUCUGAGCGAUGGUUAUCAGAGCCGUAUCGGCUCUCGGGCCGGCGUUCGGGUUUUUACUCUAAAUGGUGAGGGAUGUUUUGGAGUGCUGGACCCUGACUGCUCUUAUUACAGCCCGUCCUGCGGUGUGACCUCUUUCUCUGAGGCUAAAACCCUUUAAUAAAUGAAAUAAGACGGA
Molecule: long non-coding RNA, 1245 nt
Organism: Astyanax mexicanus (Mexican tetra)
Lineage: Eukaryota; Metazoa; Chordata; Actinopteri; Characiformes; Acestrorhamphidae
Exons: 2
Source: RefSeq, a predicted model, not a curated record